This 471-nucleotide ribosomal RNA is filed under the name uncultured Pseudoalteromonas sp. RNAcentral describes it as "bacterial SSU rRNA". It matches the Rfam family "Bacterial small subunit ribosomal RNA", at positions 97 to 570 of the family's 1533-position model. The record is from RNAcentral. Lineage: Bacteria; Pseudomonadati; Pseudomonadota; Gammaproteobacteria; Alteromonadales; Pseudoalteromonadaceae.
GGCGGACGGGUGAGUAAUGCUUGGGAACAUGCCUUGAGGUGGGGGACAACAGUUGGAAACGACUGCUAAUACCGCAUAAUGUCUACGGACCAAAGGGGGCUUCGGCUCUCGCCUUUAGAUUGGCCCAAGUGGAAUUAGCUAGUUGGUGAGGUAAUGGCUCACCAAGGCGACGAUCCCUAGCUGGUUUGAGAGGAUGAUCAGCCACACUGGGACUGAGACACGGCCCAGACUCCUACGGGAGGCAGCAGUGGGGAAUAUUGCACAAUGGGCGCAAGCCUGAUGCAGCCAUGCCGCGUGUGUGAAGAAGGCCUUCGGGUUGUAAAGCACUUUCAGUCAGGAGGAAAGGUUAGUAGUUAAUACCUGCUAGCUGUGACGUUACUGACAGAAGAAGCACCGGCUAACUCCGUGCCAGCAGCCGCGGUAAUACGGAGGGUGCGAGCGUUAAUCGGAAUUACUGGGCGUAAAGCGUAC